AACGUUUUACUGUUGCCUUCCCAAGCAAGACAGUAAUAAACUGCCUCAUCUUCAGCCUGGGUGUUGGAGAUGGUUAAAUAGUAAGUGUUCCCAGAGGAAGAGCCAGUGAACCGAUCUGGGAUCCCUUCUCCCCGGGUGCUGGUACCAUAGAUGACAAAGCGAGGAGCCUGUCCAGGUUUCUGUUGAUACCAGCCAAAGCUUUCCCAGCUACCACUACUUCUAGAGCAGGAGAGUUUCAUAGUUUGGCCCAGGGACACAGACUCCGAGGCUGGCUGAGUUUAAGUCUGUCAAAUGACACCUUUGGAAAAAGAAAAGGAAAAAGAAAUACAAAAUUUUCUAUGUUUAUAAGGAUCAGAAAACAUUGUUUUUUAUGGUAAAUUAGACAAGAUAAAUGGGUUUGGGUUUUUUCCCAUUAUCUCAGCACAAGCCAACCUGAUCCCAUUAACCACCCAAAACCAGACCUGAGCAGAAGCUGAGAACAGCGAAGAGAAGAAGGAGCCAGGCCAUGGUGAAGUCAAAGGAAGGGAGAGUCCCAGAAUGAAUGAAUGAAUUUAUUAGUACGGUCACAGACCAGCGCCAACACACACAACAUCACAGAUCAUAAAAAAUAUAUAUAAAAAAUACAAAGGGCAAUAUAAGUAUAACAAGCAUUUAAAUAUAAAAAAAAAAUUAAAAUUAGUUAUUAUUAAUUAAAAAAUUAAAAUUAAUUAUUAUUAAUUAAAAAAUUAAAAUUAAUUAUUAUUAAUUAAAAAGUUAAAAUUAAUUAUUAGCAUGGCCCCUGCUAUCAACACUUGGGGGUUUGGUCACCAUGGGAUACCACUUGCUUCCUGCGACUAAUUGCAGCCGCACAGAAUUUGGCUACAUUUAAUGUAGUCUUAGGAUUCUUGUCCUCUAGCAGCGGUUCCAAACCAUGGUGUUCCGACUCCUUCCCGGACUUCCGCAAAACAGGAGCAAUAAAAGUCGAACGUAUGUCCUCAUAGAAACGACAACGCAACAGUACAUGUGCAGCAGUCUCAACCUCCAACGAGCCACAGGGGCAGACCCGCGCUGCGUAUGGUUUACCCUCAAAUCUGCCCUGAAGUAAGGCAGAAGGGAGAACGUUGAAUCUGGCGAGGGUAAAAGACCGUCUGUAUUUAGGUACCUGGAGACCUGACAGAUAGUUAGCUGCAGAAAUCCUCUCCCAUAGUCCCUUAUUGCAGGAUGUUUGAUCAUUUCACUCAUGUGGCGUUGUAAUUCUACAUCCCAGAUACGCUGGCGAAUUGUGGUCCUAGCUUUCUCGAAGCCUGUGGCUAUCAGGGUCUGCUGUGGGAUCCCCAAGCCUUUAAGCUUUUCCAGCAGUGUAGCCUUCCAUCUGGAUUGGUAGGUAUCCAAUAAGGUCAAAGGUGCCAGCCCAACCGGGAAGAAAAUAAGCUUUAGCCAGUAAUGGAUCUUCAAUAUCCAUAUCCGGGUACUGAUCGGAAUUUGCCCAACCUCCAAACGGACUGCUAUGUUGGAUACGCAAGAGGGGAUCCCCAGCAGGCAGCGGAAAAACUUAGUUUGAAAUGCCUCUAGGAGAGUAAGGUUUUUAAAACUGCAGAUCUGGGAUCCAUAUAACAAUUGUGGUAGUAUUUUGGCAGCAAAGACCUGGGAGGCUGCCGGUAUGUACUGGCCUCCUUUCCCAUAGAAGAAUCUUAUUAACGCUUUGGUAGAUCUUUCUGCAUUUGCAAUAGUAUUAUUAAUCUGAAAGCGCCAGGAGCCCCUUUCCUGGAAGGUUACACCCAGGUAUUUAAAGGUUGCUACCUGUUCUAUUAAGCGGUUGUCUAUUCUCCAUUUGUGCCUCCUCCUUUUUUUGGAGAACACCAUAACUUUGGAUUUGUUGUAAUUAAUUGUUAAUUGUUCGAUGCUGCAGUAUUUGGUGAAAGAUCUCAAAAGUUUUCUUAAUCCAACACAAGAAAAAGAAAUUAGAACUGUGUCAUCCGCAUAUAAAAGGACCGGGAGGGCGUACCAGCCAAUUUGGGGGGAUGGGCAUUUUCUUUCUCCAUAUGUCCUACUAGCGAGUUGAUAUAGAAGUUAAAUAAAGUAGGCGCAAGGACACACCCUUGCCUGACCCCCUGAUGGAUUUGGAUUUCCUUGGAUAGGUGGCCCUGUCGGUCACACCUUACCCGAAUCCGUGUAUUUUCAUAUAGACUGUGGAUGAGAUACAGUAGGCGUUUGUUUAUAUUUGCGGUGCUUAGCUUUCCCCAGAGCCUGUCCCUCGGUAUUAGAUCAAAAGCAGAGUUGAAAUCUAUAAAGGGGAGAGUCCCAGAGUCAAACAGCUCCUCAAUCUAGCUGCACCUUCCUCCUCCUCCUCCUCCUCCUCCUCUCUUAAAUCGCCUGGAAAUGAGAAAUGACCUCUCAUGCAAAUAGGUCCACAUCCAGUGGCUUGGGCAGAGGCCCCCUUAGCAGCAAAGGGGGUGAUUUGCAUAAGGAAGGUCCAAUCCUUGGUAUGCCAGUUAAAAAGAAAAAUAUCAAGUCGCAGAUUGUGGGAAAGUCCAAGAGACUCUGCCAUGAGCAUCAGAAUACUGGACUAGGAUUGCUGCUUAUUGCACAUUCACCCUGAUUUGUCUGCAAAAAAAUUGAACCAAGUCAACUGUUUAUUCGGCCUCCAUUCACACCUGUUUGCAGGGAGGGAAAAUGACGUUGCACCUGGGAAAUGUCACUCUACACUUUCCAUUUCCCUCUCACUUUCCUUGACACAAAAGUCUGCAUCUUUGACUGGUGAUCAUGUUUCUGGCCUGUUUCGUGAAGGAUCUAGAAAUACGUGAGCAUGCGAAGCAGAAUUCUCUGACUUUUGCAUGGAUAGAAAGUGGCCUAGUGUACAAUGAUCAGAGUCUCACAUCUGUUGCUCUGCAGGACUCUCUCCUAGCUAUGGAUGAGAGAAGUCUGGCUUUCAGAAAACAAAGCACACAUAUCCUCCAACAUUCCUCAGAGGAAAAUAGUGACAUUUCUCAUUUUCCCCCUCGGGAGCCUUCUUGACACCCCAUUUUUUGUUGUCCCCCUCAUAGAAUCUUCUGUCAGAAGAAGUGCGUGUGGCACCAUCACUGCACCAAUAGGACACAACGCACAUGCUCUCCACAGUCCUGAAAAAGACAUGUAAUAUUGAUUUUAUUAUAUUUUAUGAUUUGGUAGAUUUGCAAAAAUAAAAACACACAUCAAUAAAUGAAUUUUAGAAAGGGGCAAGAUUAGAUGCAGAUGCAAAAGCAUUUAUAUUAAAAAAAAAAAAAUCAAGACUCCUUGCGCUCGGCUCCCCCUUUCUUCCUGCCCAGGGCACCCCUGCCUUCUGCAUGCACCUCUGAGGUGGCACAUCACGCAGAGUGGAGCCUCGCCAGCGGCUACCAUGCCAUCCUCCUCCUCCUCCUUGAUCCAGCAGUGCAGACACACAGAAAAGGAAACAUCCAGCUGUUUAGGGACCUCAGCUCCCAUCAGCUCAUUGUCAGGGAUGGCGGGAGAUGCAGCCCCAUAGCAUCCAAAGGGAAAUAUGUGGGUUAUCCCUGCCCUAGACAAACUUUCUGUGCCAAAGGCAGUCCAUCCAGGCAUCAGCUUGACAGCAAACAUGGUCUUGGGCUGCAUUCAGCUUCAGCCUUUUCAUUUCAAGAGGUCUUCUCUGAGUAGAACCUGCAACACACAACUUGCCUAAACAUGCUCAGAGUGUCAGCUAAUAUUCUUGGGUAGAGAAAGUUAUUUUCGGGCCCUUCAGCUCUAGACACGAGUGAGUUGCACUGAAAAAGCACCUAUGCAUAGCCAACAUUUUCCUGCCCUGCCCCAGGUGCAGCGGUCUGUGGUCUCUGUUGUCAUCCUAUCCUGCCAAAUGUGGAGAAGAUGCAUCAACAUCUCCCCUUAAAGGUGAGAGCUGGGAUCACACACAGGCAAGAAGAUUUCACCUCCAACUGUCACUGAACGUUCAGAAAUGAAAACAAUUAGCAAGGCAAAUAUUCAGAUUGCAUCUGAAUACUGGACUAGGAUUGCUGUUUAUUGCACAUAUAUCCUGAUUUGUCUGCACAAAAAUGGAAGCAAGUCAACUGUUUAUUCAGCCUCCAUUCAAACCUGUUUGCAGGGAUGGCAGAUGACGUCGCACCUAGGAGCACAAUCUGAAUCUGCCACUAGGUGAUGGGAUCCCAUUUGAUAGUAAUGACAGGUUUGAAGCACUAUUCAGGGACCAGGUUGCAAAUGAUCCUUGUCUCCACUGCAGACGGUCAUGGCAGUAACGUAAGGUGCAUAUUAGCCCAACCAGAGCACCAAGAUAUAGCCAACUUUUUCUCCAUUCAUGCCAGUGGUUCAGGUGAUACAACAGACCUCUGGCUGGGGUCAGUAAUUUAAUUCAUAUUUCCAAAGUGACAGGGCUGAACCCACAUUGCACCCAGAGUAGCCAACAUCACUUUCUGUAACAGAAUACAACCACAUUUUAAAACCUGGAUACUGACAUGACAAUCUGCUCAGAUUUAUUUCUGGCUUUUCUCCUGGGGGACAAUUUGUGCCCAGAUUCAGCUGUGGCAACCAGCACUUUCACAUCUGAUUCCCUAUAGCUGCACUACAAAUGCAAAGACGUCUGAGCAUCAUAAAUGUGCACUCAUGUACAACACCCCUGCAAAUGGUCUUUGCAAUUAUUGUUCAUUUCCUUUCAUUUCACAUCUGUGUCCAUGGGAGAUUUAUAUUCAUGUAGGAACUGAAAACAUAUACUUUCCCAAUAGCAAGGCUGUGUGGGUUGUCAAAAAAAUCAAAUUCUGACCAAUUUCAGUGCAAUACUAAAAGCAACAAUGUAACCUUAAUAUACAUUUGAAUAUCUUGCAACAGAAUUUAUCAUUUAUUCAUUGUUGGGGGGAAACAAUAUCUGCGUCAGUUCUAUUGCCAUGUCUGCACCUUCAUGACAACCGCACUUCAGAAGUUUCCCAUCUCCUGCCCGGUACACUUUGGAAGACUCAUAAUAUCUCAGCGGUAAGAAACACAUACGUGUUUCUAGACACUCAUAUCCAUUAUUGCAUGAAUCUGUGUGUGCACUGGUUACUUUUGGAAACCUGGCGAUUCCCAAAAUAAAAUAAAGCGAAGUGAUGCAAUAUAAAUGUAUUAUAUUUUGCAUAUGGUAGUUUAUAUAAUACACUAAAUUGUUUGUGGAUACUUGCUUUGUUUUAAGUUCAAGGAGAGAAAUUACAUGCAGAAAGGCUCAUCACUGAGAGUUCAUUCUUCACUUCAUUGGGCGCCCAUAACCUGGGGCAUAAGUCAGCGCCCCUGUUAUCUUGUGAUCCACCCUGAGAUCCUUGGGUGAGAGCUGCUAUAUGCAUAUAUGCAUACAUACAUACAUACAUACUUACAUACAUACAUACAUACAUACAUACAUACUUACAUACAUACAUACAUACAGUGGUACCUCGGGUUAAGGACUUAAUUCGUUCCGGAGGUCCAUUCUUAACCUGAAACUGUUCUUAACCUGAAGCACCACUUUAGCUAAUGGGGCCUCCUGCUGCCGCUGCACAGCCAGAGCACGAUUUCUGUUCUCAACCUGAAGCAAAGUUCUUAACCUGAAGCACUAUUUCUGGGUUAGCAGAAUCUGUAACCUGAAGCGUAUGUAACCUGAAGCGUCUAUAACCCGAGGUACCAAUGUACAGUGAUACCUCUAGAUAUGAACGGGAUCCGUUCCAGAGCCCCGUUCGCAUCUAGAGGUAAACGUAACUAGCAACGGCACGUCUGCGCACUCACGCGUCAUUUUUUGCCGCUUCUGCGCAUGCGAGUGACGUCAUUUUGAGUGUCUGCGCAUGUGCAAGCGGUGAAACCCAGAAGUAAUGCGUUCCAUUUCUUCUGGGUUGCCAAGGAGCACAACUCGAACACACUCAACUCGAAGCGUAUUUAACCCGAGGUAUGACUGCACAAGAUUUUUUUCUAUUUUGUGGGGAGAAAAUUCACAAUUCAAUAAAAAAACCCACAAGAAAUAAAUAAAGAGGGGGGUAAAGAAAGAAGGAACAGGAAAAAAAGAGCUACAAGAUACUUCCUCAGUAUUAUAUCUUAACUUUAAUUCCCUACAAAGGAAGAUUUAGGGCUGGAUAUAUUCUUUAACUGCCGUCAAAAACUUGGCAGCCGUAGAGAAGUGACCAGGAGCAGAGGACCAAGGGGAGUCCCCUUGCUCUGCAUCUCAACUGAUCUCAGGGCACAGAUGACUUUGAGCUCUUCUACAGUCGCUGCUCCAUUCUUCACUCUGGGGAGAAAGAGGGAAGGUUUUUGUCUCAGUUCCCCAUCAGAUUGUAUCACUGUGGAACUUGCUACUACCAGUGAACUCCCAGGCACCACAGUAAUAAACGGCCUCAUCUUCUGCCUGGGUGUUGGAGAUGGUUAAAUAGCCAGUGUUCCCAGAGAUAGAGGGAGUGAACCGAUCUGGGAUCCCUUCUCCCUUGAUGCUGGUACUAUAGAACACCAAGCGAGGAGCCUGGCCAGGUUUCUGCUGAUGCCAACUAAAGAUACCCCAGUUACCACCACUACUUCUAGAGCAGGAGAGUUUCAUAGUUUGGCCCAGGGACACAGACUCUGAGGCUGUCUGAGUAACAGUCUGUGAACUGACACCUUUGGAAAAAGAAAAAGAAAUGCAUCAUUUUCUGUGUUUAUAAAGUUCAGGAAAAAAAAUGUUUCUAUGACAAAUUACACAAGAUAAAUGGGUUUGUGGCUUGACCCAUUAUCCCUGCACGAGCCAAUCUGAUCACAUUAACCAAACAGAACCAGACCUGAGCAGUAGCUGAGAAGGGUGGAGAAAAGAAGGAGCCAAGCCAUGGUGAAGUCAAAGGAAGGGAGAGUCCCAGAGACAAACAGCUCCUCAAUCUAGCUGCACCUUCCUCCUGCUCCUCCUCUCUUAAAUCCCCUGGAAAUGACAGGUGAUCUCUCAGGCAAAAAGUUCCACAUCCAUUGGCUUGGGCAGAGGCAUCACGCUUGGCGGCAAAGGGGGUGAUUUGCAUAAGGAAGGUCCAGUCCUUGGUAUCCCAGUUAAAAAUGAAAUGAUCAAGUAGCAGAUUGUGGAAAAGUUCAAGAGACUCUGUCCUGAGCAUUAGAAUACUGGACUAGGAUUGCUGUUUAUUGCACAUAAACAGCAAAAAUGAAAAACUAAAGAAAGAAGGGACAGAAAAAAGAGCUACCAGACGCUCCAUCAGUAUUAUAUAUUAACAUUCAUUCCCUACAAAGGAAGGUUUAGGGCUCGAUAUUUUCUGAAUUGCCAGUGUAAGCUUGGCAGCCAUAGGAAAGUGACUAGGAGCAGAUGGCCAGGGAGAUCCCUCUUGCUCUGCAUCUCAACAGAUCUCAGGGCACAGAUGACUCUGAGCUCUUCUACAGUUUCUGCUUCAUUCUCAGCUCUGCGGAGGAAGAGGGAAGGUUUUUGUCUCAGUUCCCCAUCAGAUUGUAUCACUGUGGAACUUGCUACCACCAGUGUACUCCCAGUCAGCACAGUAAUAAACUGCCUCAUCUUCAGCCUGGGUGUUGGAGAUGGUUAAAUAGCCAUUGUUCCCAGAGACAGAGGCAGUGAACCGAUCCGGGAUCCCUUCUCCCCUGGUGCUGGUACCAUAGAACACAAAACGAGGAGCCUGGCCAGGUUUCUGUUGAUACCAGUAAAAGCUGAGCCAGCUCCCACUACUUUUAGAGCAGGGGAGUUUAGUUGUUUCACCUAAGGACACAGACUGGGAGGCUGGCUGUGUCACUGUUGCUUGUGAAUUGACCCCUUUACAGAAAAGAGAAAGAAAAAAGUCAUUACCUUUGAUCCUCUGUGCUUUCAAAUAGCACAAGAGCAUUCUGUCGCUAAAACAAAUACAUGUUACAGAUCAUUUUGCUGUUUUGUCUCUCAGGCGUAUGUAAGGGCACUUUGCAUCCUUACCUGAACCGUAAUAGAAAAGGGCAAAGAAAAGCAGAGCCCAGGCCAUGGUGAGCUCUCUAAAGCAGCGUAGAGUCUUUCUAAUUGGACAGGCACCUGGCUGGGACCCAAGGAACCCUUCCCUUUUUAAGUCCCUGGAAGAUGAGGAAUGGUCCCUUCAUGCAAAUUCAACCUCUGCUCAUUGGCUCAGGCCAUGUCUCCACUGAUAAUACCUGGUGCAAUAGGGAAACAAAAUGCAAUAGAACUGAGGUGUAUAAAGGGAUUUUUUUCUUUUUCUAUUUUGACUAUGAUCUUGUCUUGUACAUGAUUAAUUUGAGGCAGAAGUAGGGUAAUAGCUCAGGGGAAAAGGGAGGAGGAAGGCUCAUAGCUUAAUGAUAAUGGACAUGAUCUGCCUGCAGAAGAUGUUGUCCUUGGUAUCUCCACACACACACACACACACACACACACACACGAAUUAAGUAGUAACUGAUGGCAAAUACCUCCUUCUGAGACUCUAAAUUCAUAAUAACCACACCAGAUUAGGAUGCCUUUUCACUUAGUUUUUGCUCUGAUGUGUUAUGUUGCUGCAGGCAAAUGUUCUCCCACACUUUCUGGUUCCUUUGCCUACCACUUUUCUUCUUUCAAUGGUUUCCUUUUGCAGAGAAGAGAGUUUGCUGCACAAGACUUCAAAAUAAACUUAAUUGUGGAUUUCCUGGUAUGUGAUUGAAACUCACCCCAAAAUAACAACAGGCUUGAAGAGCCCUGAAUGAACCAGUAGCCUGACCUAGUAUAAAGCAAUUUCUUCUGACCCAAGAUAGUAUUUGGAUGCUUUAUUACAACAAUACAUUUUGUUUUUAACAUUUGAACGUCAGACAGCUCCAGGAAGUGUUCCACUGUAAAAUCCUACGGGCUACAUCCAACACAAAGCUGGUCUUCUGUCCUCAAAAGAAGCAGGGAAUGCCAAACCUACUUAAGCACUCCCUGCAGAAGGAAGACAACUUAUCACCUUUCCUUCCCACAUUUAUGACAGGAAUUACUUUUUUCAGUAUCUGAACCUCUUUGAACACCAAAGCUCUGUUGAGAUUGCAAGAAACCCUUGUUUCCACUGCAGACUGUGAUCACAGCAAAUCAGGUCACUUAUCACAACUUCUAUCCAUGCAAAACUGCACUAGAAAGCCCUGUAAGAGUUUCUGGGCAUAGCAAAAAUUCUGCUUUUGUAACAAAUCUCUGUAGGUUGGUAAUUUCACUUUUAUCAAUUUCAAUUUUCUCCAUGAUUCUUCAUACAUUAGCAGAAUGGGAGGAGCUCACGUUCUGUUGAGAUUAGGGAAUGAAAUGGCAAUCAGAAAAAAAUCUGCAACUGAGAAUUUCCAAAAAUUGCAUCCCUACAGGUGUGUGAAUUGUGUGUGGCUGAAAAGUGGAGUAAUGUUUGAGGCCAACUGGCUUUUCUGAGCUUUCUAAACUACCCCUGAGCUAAACUAUUCACAAGCAGCCAAAGAAUUGCUGAGACCCUCAAAAAUAGGCAACAAUGAACUGAGUCACACAAAUACUUUUCUCAGGUUCAAACCCACAGCUUGAUGGGGGAAUGAGCUCAAGAUAACUAAUGAUCUCCAAUAUAUAUGAUUCCCUGAAACUGAUUAGCAUCGGGAUAUGAUAAAGUUUGAACUGUCUCUUGUCUGACCCAAAGCUUUAGUGUUAUGCACUAGAAGGAACUUUAUUUGGGGGUCUGGCACUCUGUCGGUGAGAUGCCCCAGUUGUAUGGCGUAAGUUGGAUCUAUGCAAUGAGUAGUCAGGUGCUUCUGCCUUGACGAGGGAAAUGGGAUUAAAUGCACUUGGGUUUCUCUCCAUUCCAAGCACAUGAUUCUUUUUUUUUCUUUUUUAUUAUUAUUAUUAUUAUUUUGUUUAUUUAUUUAUUUUCAAUGCAGAAUCAUAACAAAGCACAUGAUUCAAAGUCCUUGGGGAAAGAUCAAAUGAAACUUUCUAAGGAUUCUUGGUUUGCUGCACUGUGGUCAAAGGGUGAACGUUUUUGUCUCAGUUCCCCAUCAGAUUAUAACAUGGAAACAUGAUACUAUCAGUGUGCUCCCAGUCACCACAGUAAUAAACUGCUUCAUCUUCAACCUGGUUGUUGGAAAUUCUUAAAUAGGAAGAGCCAGUGAACUGAUCCAAGAUCCCUUCUCCCCUGGUGUCAUUGCUGUAGAGAACAAAGCAAGGAAUCUCUCCAGGUUUCUGUUGAUACCAAGAAAAGCCGCCCCAGGUGCUACCACUCAUUCAAGAGCAGGAGAGCUUAGUUGUUUGGCCCAGAGACACAGAUUCUGAGGUAGACUGAGUCAAUGUUGGCUGUGAAAUGACACCUUGGCAAAAUAAAAAAUAGAAAAUAAGCAAGCAUAUAUCUCGUUGGUCUGUGUUGUCAAAUAUCACAGGAGCUUUAGAAUUGUAUGAUAAAUAAACAUGACUUAUACUUUUGGGUUUGGCUCUUAGGCUCACACAGUGAUUUCUUUGCAUCCUUACCUGAACAGUGAUUGAGAAGGACCAGGAGAAACAGAGCAGAGGCCAUGGUGAGCUCUUCAAAGCAGCAGGACUUCCUGAAGCAAGAGGAAACAGACUGGGACUCAACCAACCUUUCCUUUCUUACAUCCCCAGAGUUGGUGAAUGGUCCCUGAAUGCAAAUCCAGCCAGACAGGGUUGGUUGUUCAAGAACUUCACGUCCCCAUGGGGCAUACAUGAAGCCACAUAAGAAAUGCAACAGAAUUGAUAUACAUAAAGGAGCCUUUGAGGAGGCCGUGGUGAUGGUUCCCCACCUGCAUGCUGCUUUGUCAGGGGCCUGACUGGAAGUAAACACAGCUGGGCCAUGGCUGGUUUGAUGUAGUGAUGGAUGGAAAGGUGAGGACAGACCUUCCCUCCUCCUGGCAAUGCAUGCAAAGAUAAAGUAAGAAGAAGAAGAAGAAGAAGAAGAAGAAGAAGAAGUAGUUUUGUUGAUACUCCGCCCUCCCCGGGCUCAGGGAGGCUAACACCAGUAAAAUUACAGUAAAAUCAAAAUAGGGAGAAAAAAAACAAUUUAAAAUACAGGUUAAAAUGCAAUUUAAAAUGCAGCCUCAUUUUAAAAGUAGCCCAUAGAUCAAAACCAUAAGGGGAGGGAAACAUAAGGGUCAGACUGAGUCCAAACCAAAGGCCAGGCAGAACAGCUCUGUCUUGCAGGCCCUGUGGAAAGAUGUCAAGUCCCGCAGGGCCCUAGUCUCUUGUGACAGAGCGUUCCACCAAGUAGGGACCAGUACUGAAAAGUCCCUGACCCUAGUUGAGACCAAUCUAAGCACCUUGCAACCUGGGACCUCCAAAAUGUUGUCAUUUGUGGACCUUAAGGUCCUCUGCAGGGCAUACCUGGAGAGGCGGUCCCGUAGGUACGUUGAGAAGAUGGGAAGGGAUCUUGCUUCCAUCCAGAUGUUAUUGGACUGCAACACCUUCCACCUCUGACCAUUCAGAUGGGUGUGUGUGACCUGCAAUAUCUGGAGGAUCCCAGGUGUCUCCUUCCCAAGAUAGCAUAUAUUCUCCCCCUACAGGCUGCUGAAUGUUCUCUCCCUGAAAAAGCUUGAGGAGAGCACUGGAUGUUCCCGAACACAGGGCUGCAAAGCCCCUUCAGGCAAUGCCUUAAGAUCAUGCUGGAUCCCAGCCACCCCUGCAUUCCACUGGGAAGGUUCAGGUUGGGGGUGGAGAAUUCAACUGCAUUUCUUGAAGGUGUAAAUAGAACUUUAAAGAGCAUACAGAAAGCUGCCCGGUGCCCAGUGAGGCCACAAGUCAAAUUUUAUGUUGAAAUGUCUACACAGACUAACAGCAUGUCCCUGGCAUUUCAGACAAAAGACAGCUCAAAUAAUAUUUAGCAAAUACUGGGGAUUGACCUUGUGGAUACAGCACACGUAGUCCACCACUGAACAGAGGCAUCCAACAGAAUUCCUAUCACUCCAAAUUAUUUACCUCUUCAGCCUUAGCGUUAGGGGGUAACAUAAGGGGGGAGAAUAAGAAGGGUCUGCUUGAUAGGGCAGGGGGCUUCUCCUACAAAACUUACUCAUGUGAAAUUAUGCUCUUGAGUAAUUCAGGCUUCUCCACACUAAGAAAGAGGAGUGAAAGGUUUUUGUCUCAGUUCCCCAUUAGAUUGUACCAUUGUGGAACAUGUCAUUGCUGUUCUCCCAAGCAAGACAGUAAUAAACUGCCUCAUCUUCAGCCUGGGUGUUGGAGAUGGUUAAGUAGUAAGGGUUUGCAGAGGAAGAUGCAGUGAACCGAUCUGGGAUCCCAUCUCCCCUGCUGGUCCCAUAGAGCAACAAGCGAGGAGCCUGUCCAGGUUUCUGUUGAUGCCACUGAUAGUUGUACCAGCUCCCACCAUUACUGGCUGUGCAGGAGAGUUUAGCUGUUUGGCCGAGGGCGACAGAUGAAGAAGCAGGCUGGGUGACUGUUGGUUGCGAAGAGAUAU
This is a non-coding RNA of Podarcis lilfordi (Lilford's wall lizard), 12287 nucleotides long. The record is from the annotation of a GenBank genome assembly. Lineage: Eukaryota; Metazoa; Chordata; Lepidosauria; Squamata; Lacertidae.